Molecule: ribosomal RNA, 249 nt
Filed under: uncultured prokaryote
Description: partial 16S ribosomal RNA
Rfam family: Bacterial small subunit ribosomal RNA
Source: RNAcentral
UACGGAGGAUGCGAGCGUUAUCCGGAUUUAUUGGGUUUAAAGGGUGCGUAGGCGGCCGAGUAAGUCAGCGGUGAAAUUUUGCAGCUUAACUGUAACAGUGCCGUUGAUACUGCAUGGCUAGGAUUUGGUUGCUGUGGGUGGAAUGUGUGGUGUGGCGGUGAAAUGCUUAGAUAUCACACAGAAUAUCGAUUGCGAAGGCAGCUCACAAAGCCAAGAUUGACGCUGAGGCACGAAAGUGUGGGGAUCAAA